Molecule: long non-coding RNA, 1797 nt
Organism: Aegilops tauschii subsp. strangulata
Lineage: Eukaryota; Viridiplantae; Streptophyta; Magnoliopsida; Poales; Poaceae
Source: RefSeq, a predicted model, not a curated record
ACAUUUUUCUUCAGUUCAUGCCUUCACCGUCCCUAAUCUUGAACCACGAAUUCCAUAGGAUCUUGUAUUUUUCUUGUGUACCUGCUCUGCACUUGUUGUAGAGCAUAGCUUGAAUCAGUAUUUUUACCUAUUUUUGACCUCUCGUUCUGAAAUACAUCUAGCAGGUGUGGCCAGUACUCUGUUAUUCUCCUACAUAUAGCUGUAUAUGCAUCUGAAAGGGCAAGUACUUGGAUGACCUUGACAAUAUCAUACUGAUUGUAAUAACUUGCAUAAGACUCUGUAUUUGAAGAUGUUCCGGUCCUGCAUUAUUUGACAGAAUUACCAUUAAAGAAAAUUUAGGACAGAAAUAUAUUUCCAGGACAGUCCAGAGAAAAAGGCUGGUAUUUAUGGGGUAGCACUCAAACUACCGCUACGCACAAGGCUGGUAUUUCAAUUCGUUUGCCAUACUUCUAGUUUUAUUUUAGGGUUCUUUAUAAAUAUAUGUAGGUAUUAUGAUCCAUUGCAAAUAUAAGGAGUAGAUAAGCUGAAACUAGAAUAAGCAUCUUUUUGCUCUGAUGGAUCAGUUUCUCAUUGUUAAUAUUUAUAUAUUUUCUUCUGAGCACCUGUUUCUUCAUCAUAUAUAUGUGGGAAAAAGGAAAACUUCUAUGAUAGACAGUAGUAGUUUCAGACUGUCUACGAUCCCAGUAAUCCAGAUUCUGAAGCUUGUAUUGUCCUUAAUGAGCUAGUAAUAAAAAGAUAACAACCUUCCGAGAGGUGUUGCCAAACCUGGGAUGUAGAUAAUCAAACAAAUGCAGGGCUGGAGACAAUUAUUUGCUGGUUUGAGCCUCAGUUACAUCCUGAUGACAGUCUUGCACAUUCAGUUUUACAUUCUGAACAUAAGCAACAUUACUAAAUCGCAUGCUCUGUUCAUGUUAAGUUGUUGAUUGCAAACGUCACAAGGCAGGAGAACACACAUUUUUUUAUUCACGUAGUGUUCAUCAAUAUCUUUUAUACAUCAGUAAACUCAGCAUUCUACAGGAGAAUAAAGUUCAGAAGGAAAAACCAUCAAGAAAGCAUCAGCUAUACCCAAUUUCUUUUUUGAGUUUCUGAUUGUGUCGUCUUGCUGGGUGAAACAUGCCAACCAAGGAUAUGCGGCAGUCCAAUUCCCCUAUGCCAGCAAGCAUACAUGAUUCGGUUUACUAUACAAAAUAUGGAAUGCCUGUCCAGAUUAAAAAUAAUGAUAUACUUUUCGGUUGAUCCAAGUUGGUUCUCGGUUGAAACUAAUUUGAAGCUUUGCAUUUUUCUUAUAGCUGGCUGAUAUACUUUUUAUUUUUAUAAAGUAUAUAUCUUUUACAUUCUGCAAUGAAGAAAAACCAUCAUGCCUAUAGUGGGAAGAUGUCUGUCCAAAGAUGCUUUAUUUGCUAAGCUACAUGAGUUUAUUCACAGUUCUUAUCUGAAAAAGAUAAGCGAACUGGCAGGUGGAUCAGCAGCAUUUGUCUAUGCUCGAAUAACCCUCUUGAGUUGGUUCCCUUACCACAGGUCGACAGAAAUGUUCAAAAAGUUGACGGUGGAAGUAGUUCAGUAUGGAUAUAGUUCACAUAGUUGUGAUAUUUUUAGUGGAACAAAGUAUUGUUUCUUGCUGAACCUGUAACCAUAAUUAGCAUUUUCUCUUUUGAGACAUAGUUAGUAAACUAUAUUUAUCAUUGGUGUUGCACUAUUGGUCCGACUUUGGCAUGUCAGGUUAUAUGCAUGUGUGGAUGCAAGUUGAAUAUUUGUUCUCUUGCGAACUGUGUAUUUAAUAUAUAUUUUUCGUUCAAA